Molecule: long non-coding RNA, 352 nt
Filed under: Homo sapiens (human)
Lineage: Eukaryota; Metazoa; Chordata; Mammalia; Primates; Hominidae
Description: HSALNT0331638
Source: RNAcentral
CCAGGGGGCGGUGUGCGCCCCCGGCGCUGGAGCAGCCGCGUUUCGGGGACCCGGGCAGGCGUGGGGGGCUGCGCUGAGCUCCAGGCCUCCUGCAGGUGCAAUAAGAAUCGUAUUACUAAUGUGGUGUCCUCUGGAAUGGUCACAUGAACACAGUUCCCUGCAGAUGUAAUUGGGAGAGAAGGCACAGUCCUGACACAGGGUAAGACUGUGGAGGUGUAUUGCUGUCCCUACCAGCCUGGAGUGCAGUAGUGUAAUCUCGGCUCACUGCAGCCUCAAACUUCUGGGCUCGAGCGAUCCUCUCACCUCAGCCUCCUGAGUAGCUGGGACUACAGGUGCGUGCCACCAUGUCUAG